Phyllostomus discolor (pale spear-nosed bat) is the source of this 2115-nucleotide long non-coding RNA. RefSeq lists it as uncharacterized. The transcript is spliced from 2 exons. NCBI's taxonomy places the organism in Eukaryota, Metazoa, Chordata, Mammalia, Chiroptera, Phyllostomidae. The record is from RefSeq and is a predicted model, not a curated record.
UAGCCGGGCGGCAGGAACCUGGAAGGCCAGGGAGUGAAGUGAUGGGAAUGGCCUGGAGAAGGGGCCUUGUGAAUGGAAGGGAGGACAGUAUUAAAAACUUAAAUCCUCCACGGACUGGGGGGAGGGGAACACUCCUAGAAAGACUUUUACACUGGGGAGUUUCAGACGAAAACCACGCUUUUUUUUCAGUGGGUUUUGGCAGUAAUGAGAAAGCGGUUUCCCAGGCCAAGUUUGUUAUUCAGGGCCUUACUUAUUCUUUCACCCCCAGUACACACGUGGCAUUCCUGCUAGAAACACCGAUUCUGUUGCUCACAGAGAACUGAGUUGAAGCCCUGGGUAUGCAAAAGGAGGGCAAAUCAUUGCACCUUACAUUUAUAGAACACUCUACGGUGUCUGAUUUAUUAUAUGAGAACCAUAAAGCAACAAGGAGGCAGAGAAAAACUCAAUAUGCAGGGCUUUUUUUUUUUUAUGUUAGCACCUGCCAAGGUUGGAGCCACUCACACUGUCCAUUUCCUUCCAGAACCCUCUCUUGGGGGGAGGGAGGGAGGAGCUGCAGACAGAUAUGGUGGGGAAGUGAAAGAAGAGGAGCCUGCUCUGAAGGACUUCCUUGAAAUAGCUGAGGAAUAGGUCCUUGUGAAAUAAGGAUUGAUUGUAGAGGGGAAACGACUAGAAUGCAGUUGGUCAGCCAAAGGCACUAAACAUCUUGCAAUGCUCAGGACCGUUUUGUGUGGGAAAGAGUUGUCCUGCAUCCUGCAUGACUUGACUCUCCCACUGCUCCUUGAUGUAGAUGGAAAACCUGUUCAUAUUUACCUGAGCCUAGAAUCUAUUUUACAUAUAAACAAAGUGUUUUCCACACAGUUGAAGACAUACUAAAUUUUCCUGGAAUGUGGUAUUAUAUUCUUGGAAUUUUAAUGACUAAUACUGUCCAUUUUGUGGCUAUUUAAUGGCAAUUCUAAAGAUGGAGGCAAGCAUCUGACUGUUUUAUUGUGUCUCUUAGUCUUGACUUGCCUGAGCAUUUCCAUGUUGAAUCACGCAUUUACUUUGUCCUCUGUUAUAGUUAAGGCUAUAGCUUUGAAUUUUUAAAAAUUAUGUGUGUAGGUACCUUCAUAAUGUUAAACAGAAUAUUGCCCCAACUUUGUUAUUAAAAGGGCAUUAGCUUUGACAGGGCUGAGAACCAUUUAUUCAGUAAGUCAAUAAAUAUCAUUUAGGUGUUAUGUGCUAGGUACCAUUCUAGUAUGGUAUGUCAACAAAUAAAACAGAAGAAGUUUACUGCCUUUAUGGAACUUACACUCUAAUGUGAGUAUGGGGCGGCAGACAUUAAAUAAUAAACAAAUUAAGUAAAUUCUUUGGUAUAUUCAAAAGUGAUUUAUUAUAUAAAGUAAAGCAAGAUAAAGGAUAUUGGGGAUGCAGGAGAGAGUGUGGGUUGAAAUGUUAAAUAUUGUGAUCAGGGUAAGCUUUAUUGAGAAGGUGACAUACAAGGAAAGAUCUGGAGUGGUAAGAGAAUUUUCUGGUGGAUUUCUGAGAGAAGAACACUCCAGAAAGAGAGAACAGUUAGGUAUAGGCCUCAAGGUGAGUGUGUGCCUGAAGUUUUCAAGAAACACCAAGGAUGCUAAUGUGUGGCUGGGCUGGAGAGAGUAGGGAGUGGAAGGAUUCAGGACUAAGACUGGGUUGGGACAGGCGAUAAGGGACUUGUAGGGCAUUGCGAGAGCUUUGGCUUUCGUGCUGCAUGAAAUGAGCAGCUGCUGGAGAGUUUUAGGCAGAGAAGUGACACGAUCAGGAAUAAUUUUCAAAGGAUUAUUCUGGCUGCUCUAUCCACGAUGGGUCAUAGAGAGCAAAUGGUAAAAGCGAAUAGGCAAGAAGCUAUUGCAAUAAUCCAGGCGAAAAAUACGAUGGCCUGAUCCAGAGUGGCAGCCAUGAAAAGUAGAGUGAGAGAGGAAUCAUGAAUACCAGAGGGCACAGCGGAAGAAUUCCAGGGGUUGGGGAGGGCGGCAAGAUGGAGAGAGAUUAUUAGAGGCCAAGAGUUUGGGAGAGAUCUGGGUGUCUGGGACUUCUUGAGGUGACUGACAUAAACACAGGGAUACAGGGGAUAUUGAAGUCAGUUUCAGAGUGAAGAAA